This is a non-coding RNA of Schizosaccharomyces pombe (fission yeast), 1131 nucleotides long. The record is from the annotation of a GenBank genome assembly. Lineage: Eukaryota; Fungi; Ascomycota; Schizosaccharomycetes; Schizosaccharomycetales; Schizosaccharomycetaceae.
UUUCAAAGCCAUGAUAACCUGCAAUUUUUUUAAACUAUCACUAAGACCUUACUCAAUGUACACUUAAUUACGCCAUAUACUUCACUUAUUUUGAAGUUUCAUACGAUAAAAAAACCGUCCCAGAUAACCUUUACACACUCAUUACUCUUAUGCUCCCAUAACGAUACUUUAUUUAUACGACCAAGUGAAAAAAGUAUUGCAUUUUUAUAAAGUUUACUCAACCUUACCACCCUUGCGAACGAUCAAGUCCUUGCGGUCCUUGUCGAGGUGAAGCUUGGUAAUGACAACCUUAGAGGCGUCGAUACCGACGGGUGCAGAGGCACCGUUGGCCUUCUCGCGGGUGACACGCUCAAUAAGAAGAAGGAACUUCUUACGGUAGACGGAGGUGAUCUUGCCUUCGCGACCUUUGUUGGAACCACGGAUGACAGUGAUUUGGUCAUCACGACGAACUGGAAGAGAACGGAUCUUGUAUUGCUCUCUAAGCUCCUUGGAAAGAGGAGCAGACAUUAACACACGGCGUACAGAUGAAGGGGCGCCGAAGUGAGCCUUUCUCUGCUUGCGACGAGAGCUAGUGACAUCCCUGGAGAACUUCAUUUUGUGUCGUGGGUCUGGUGAAAAUGGUAGUUCAGCAUCUUGGAAUGUUUGUUGUGUGACAGUUGACAGUCACACUGAUUUUGCUUAGGUUAGGGCAAAUGCAUACCGGACUUCUCUAUAUCUCGUUACCUUUUGCAUAAACAUUUAACUCAAAAAAAAUAUAUAAAAGCAAAAUGAAUUUAAAUCGUUAACACUAAUUCUCUCAGUUAUUUACUAAAACAAUGAAGUUUUUAACCCCCGAUUGAUAAAGUUUUUAGCUUAUAUAAAAAAAUUUUAUUUUUGUUUAAACAGAUUUAAAGCAACCUGCUCAGUGGUUUCAUAACAACGAUAAAAUCAUCAUGUAGAUAAUUCAGUUAAAAUUUUUUAAAAGGACAAAAUCAAGAAUAGUAACUUAACUAUUUUUAUGUCUAUGCUAGAUGAAAGACUUUUCUCCAUUUUUUCUAUCACGUUCAAAAUUGUUUUAAGGGAAAACAAAAUUAGUCUAAUUAAGGAAAAAUUCUAACAACCGUGCUAGUUGCAUAGCUGAACCAAAAAAAG